UGCGAAUUGAAACUCCACAAAAACACACCUACAAAUUAAAGUAAACAAGGAGAAAUCCCAUGAGAAUUUUUCUUUUUCAUGUCUCGGAGAAUUUUUUCUUUUUCUUACUUAUUUCCUUCUUGAACUUAGGGUGAAUAAUAUAUACUAUUAUAACCUUGGGUUAAUGGUCUUGUUGUCUUCUUUCCUUUAGCUUCUUUAAUGGAUCAAGCUCCAUCUUCCUCAUUGAUCCAUGCUUGGACAAAGAGUUGAAAGAUUUGUUAUAAUCUUUUAGCUCUCCUCCUUUUAAUGAGCCCACUUGGCAUUGAGAUAUCAUUUCUGUCAACUUGAUCCAUAUUCAUAGUCACAUCAACAGGGGAAUAAAAAUUAAGGUUAUAGAGAAAAAAAUAAAGAAGUAGAAUUGAAAAUUCGACACAAG
This 415-nucleotide long non-coding RNA is filed under the name Carica papaya (papaya). Its description in RNAcentral is "long non-coding RNA (CPAP_LNC012224)". The record is from RNAcentral. Lineage: Eukaryota; Viridiplantae; Streptophyta; Magnoliopsida; Brassicales; Caricaceae.